This 490-nucleotide small RNA is filed under the name Camellia sinensis. RNAcentral's name for it is "transcribed RNA". The record is from RNAcentral. Lineage: Eukaryota; Viridiplantae; Streptophyta; Magnoliopsida; Ericales; Theaceae.
UAUCCUAUAUAUGUAUAUGUUCAUAGAGAAACUGUCUAAGGAAGUGCGAAGCUUUCUCAAUCACAUUCAGUAUAACACUUCUCUCAUCCCACUACCGUACUAUCCAUGUCCUAUUCUUAUACUAUUAUACCUGCUCCCUUCGAGAUAGGACUCAGUGGCCUCUUCAAUGGUGCUACUUAUGCUUAUAGUUUCGGUCAGAAGAUUGCACCUUUUGACCCAAGGAAGACGACCACAUCCUUCUCCUUUACCUGCCUGGGCAAAGCAUUUAAAAUAAUUAUUUCAAUCUGGAUUUGUUUCAGGCUUUACAUAUCCAUUCAAAUUAGAAUAUGACCACCCACUGACUCCCCUUUUCCUUUCGCUCGUGAUCGAGCCACCCGAGGCUUCUCGACUGCUUUAAUUCUAAAUUAUAAGAAAUUCAUAUCCAUUUCUCACGAUCAGCUUCGGGAAGUUAUUUUCUAUUUAUUAUUAGAUUUCUGGUUUGCAAUUACCU